RNAcentral lists this long non-coding RNA (544 nucleotides) under Mytilus galloprovincialis (Mediterranean mussel). It matches the Rfam family "Eukaryotic small subunit ribosomal RNA", at positions 108 to 768 of the family's 1831-position model. The record is from RNAcentral. Lineage: Eukaryota; Metazoa; Mollusca; Bivalvia; Mytilida; Mytilidae.
AGUUGGUUCCUUAGAUCGUACAAUCCUACUUGGAUAACUGUGGUAAUUCUAGAGCUAAUACAUGAAGCACGGCUCUGACCUCGCGGAAAGAGCGCGUUAAUAGACCAAAACCAGUCGGGUCCGCAAGGGCCCGUCGGAUUGGUGAGACUGGAUAACUUUGUGCUGAUCGCACGGCCUCGCGCCGGCGACGUAUCUUUCACAUGUCUGCCCUAUCAACUUUCGAUGGUACGUGAUAUGCCUACCAUGGUUGUAACGGUUAACCGGGAAUAAGGGUUCGAUUCCGGAGAGGGAGCAUGAGAAACGGCUACUACAUUCAAGGAAAGCAGCAGGCGCGCAAAUUACCCACUCCUGGCACGGGGAGGUAGUGACAAAAAAUAACAAUACGGGACUCUUUCAAAAAAGCUCGUAGUUGGAUCUCGGGUCCAGGCUGGCGGUCCGACGCCUGUCGGUUACUGCCUGCUCCUGACCUACCUCCCGGUUUUUCGCCCUUGGUGCUCUUGACUGAGUGUCUCUGGUGGCCGGAACGUUUACUUUUACAAUAAAA